RNAcentral lists this non-coding RNA (24 nucleotides) under Arabidopsis thaliana (thale cress). The record is from RNAcentral. Lineage: Eukaryota; Viridiplantae; Streptophyta; Magnoliopsida; Brassicales; Brassicaceae.
CCGAUGCAUGACAUGUCAGUAUGC